UUUUGGGCUCUUCUGCGUGUGCCGUGUGAAUCACCAUUCAAUAUCAAUUCAUAACCAAUUAGACCCAUUCCCAUAAAGAUAAAAAGUAAAAUCAAUAUUUAUUUAUUUUUAACAAAUUUCACCAACACAUCAUCUUUAUUUUUUCUUCUUUUGCUCAUUCUUUUGUUUCUUUUCACCAUCUUUGGAAACAAUAAACACGACACAAACACCUAAAAAACGUGCAACCUUAAAUAACGUUAGACCCACAAGCAACGACGAAAACCACAAACUUCGAUGACUCAUCCUUGCAAAAAAUCUCGUGAUAAUACACCAUUUUCACAAAAUGGGUGGUUUUGCACACAAGAAGAUCAAGCUUAAGAAAGGGUUUGGUAUCUGAUGCGUAUCAUGCAAGUGUAUGUGGUCAAGUAGCAAUAAAAUAGUGUAAGAUACCGAGUAUCGUUCUCAGGGAUGACUUUGGAUGGUUUAAUACUCAACUAUUUUAGAAUUAAAGUAACUUUAGCUAAGGAAAUUGGACAUUGGAUUUAGUGUAGUUAAAGUUCAGAUUAAGCAAGGGAGAAGAUACAUUGGAUAGUGUUUCAAUAAACAAGAUGUUCUAGGAUGAUGAAUUAAUUACUUAUUUCAUUGAUUAAUAAAUUGGCAUUUCAUGAAAUUUAGUAUUAA
Long non-coding RNA from Cucumis melo (muskmelon), 660 nucleotides. RefSeq lists it as uncharacterized. The record is from RefSeq and is a predicted model, not a curated record. Lineage: Eukaryota; Viridiplantae; Streptophyta; Magnoliopsida; Cucurbitales; Cucurbitaceae. The transcript has 2 exons.